GAGGAGGAGGAGGCGCAGGAAAUUGAAGGCUGCCUUUGGCAGCGUGAGAGAGAGGAGAGACGCGCUGACUGGACAGAAGGAAAGGCAGCUCCCAGAGGCAGGACAGAGGGGAGAGAAGGCAAAGGCAAGGAGAAACUGACGGGAGCAACACAGAGAGCAAAGUUUCACUCCAUUUUUCUUGGUUUUAUCUUCUCAAACCCAUAUUUUACUUUUGGUUUAAUUUGAAAAUAAUGUGUAACUAAAUUUAUUUUGGCUAGAGGUUAAUUCAAAGCCCUGAAUAUAUUUGUAAUAUGAAUUGAUUACCUUCAGUUGUGAUUUCUGAGUUGUGAUUUAAUUUGCUUAA
This 343-nucleotide long non-coding RNA is filed under the name Malus domestica (apple). RNAcentral's name for it is "long non-coding RNA (MDOM_LNC003704)". Lineage: Eukaryota; Viridiplantae; Streptophyta; Magnoliopsida; Rosales; Rosaceae. The record is from RNAcentral.